This 439-nucleotide ribosomal RNA is filed under the name uncultured Desulfosporosinus sp. Its description in RNAcentral is "bacterial SSU rRNA". It matches the Rfam family "Bacterial small subunit ribosomal RNA", at positions 948 to 1382 of the family's 1533-position model. Lineage: Bacteria; Bacillati; Bacillota; Clostridia; Eubacteriales; Desulfitobacteriaceae. The record is from RNAcentral.
AAUUCGACGCAACGCGAAGAACCUUACCAGGGCUUGACAUCUACAGAAUCGGGAGGAAACUUUCGAGUUGCCCUUCGGGGAACUGUAAGACAGGUGGUGCAUGGUUGUCGUCAGCUCGUGUCGUGAGAUGUUGGGUUAAGUCCCGCAACGAGCGCAACCCCCUAUGUUUAGUUGCUAGCGAGUAAGGUCGAGCACUCUAGACAGACUGCCGGUGAUAAACCGGAGGAAGGUGGGGAUGACGUCAAAUCAUCAUGCCCCUUAUGUUCUGGGCUACACACGUGCUACAAUGGCCGGUACAAACGGAAGCGAAGCCGCGAGGUGAAGCAAAUCUGAUAAAACCGGUCUCAGUUCGGAUUGCAGGCUGCAACUCGCCUGCAUGAAGUCGGAAUCGCUAGUAAUCGCGGAUCAGCACGCCGCGGUGAAUACGUUCCCGGGCCUU